AGGGGAAAUGGCACAUGUUGCGCAAAAGGGAAUAUGACAUUGCAGAUCAAGUUCGGAAUGACACAAUUUCAAGUGUACAACAUCUAAAGACCUGCAUCACUAUACUGAGAGCUGUCUCUAAAAGGACAUAUUUAGGUGUUUUUGGAGCCAUUGUUCAUGUUUUUUCAGGUCCCCAUACUACGCAACCAGGAUAAGGAAGUGAUUUUCUGUUUGAGGCAUAGCGGGAAUGAAUAGGAACGUAUCAGCUGUGUAAGGGCUAUUUGACCAAGAAGGAGAGUGAUGGAGUUAUGCGUCAGAUGACCUGGCCUCCACAAUCACCUGACCUCAACCCAAUUAAAAAAUGGUUGAGCUGGACGGCAGAGUGAAUGAAAAGCAGUCAACAAGUGCUCAGCAUAUGUGGGAACUCCUUCAAGACUGUUGCAAAAGCAAUCCAGGUGAAGCUGGUUGAGAGAAUGCCAAGAGUGUGCAAAGCUGUCAUCAAGGCAAAGGGUGGAUACUUGAUGCAUGAUCCCAUAUGUGUUAUUUCAUAGUUUUGAUGUCUUCACUAUUAAUCUACAGUGUAGAAAAUAGAGAGAAACCCUUGAAUGAGUAGGUGUGUCCAAACGUUUGACUGGUACUAUAUAUUGCUUCAAUGAAAAAACAAGUGCCAUUGAAGAUUGAUUUAUUGAAACUGCAAUAUCAACUGGUUAUAUCCUGGAACAAAAAGGUAUUAACCUCAGCAGUGUGUCGUUUGCUUGUAGAAGCUUAUGGCUGUGCAAUGGCAAAGCCUUGUUUUGUUAGUUUAGCAGACAAGACGCUCAUAUUUCCAGAGCCCUUAUCACAGUCAAGACACCUAUUUUAUAGUAAAAACAUGAUGUAACAUAAGGGAAUAUAAUAGAACAGAAUAGUGUGAAGUGAUUCACAUCUCGCUUCUUAAACAGUUAUUCUCAGAGUGAUCAUUUGAAACAAGGUCUAUUUGGCAAGUUGAAAGACAUUUUUCAGGGUUACAAACCAAAAUCUCCUUUUGAUAUACAUGUCUUAGAUUUAGUUUAUUAUGUAUGUUCCUUGGAAUUUUCUAAAUGGAUUAAAUUGUCCCAAAUGGACAGUACUUCAGUGAACACUCAAGGGGGUGAAUUAUGGCCACGAAUUUUGUUUUGUGUGCAGGCCUAGGCUUAUUGAUUGUGAUGAAAAUGCUCUCUUUGUCUUUAUCAAACAAAUGUUUUUGCAUAUUAUCCAUGUGGAUCCUGUCUAUCUUUAGAGGGGUAAUGCCUCUUUCUACAAUUUUGCUUCUUAGAAUCUGAUUAUAAACCUAACCCUUAACACUAACUUUAACUACACUGUUAACAUUAUGACAAACCUUUUAAAUUCAUGACUUUGUAUAAUAUUUCGAAAUUUACUUACUGUCUAUGGUAACUAGUGACAACCGCAAAGUGGCCUUAGUGGAAAAUUACCCAAUCAUUCCAAAACUGCAGCUCAUUGUUGAAACACAUAUUUCCCUACUUCAAUCAACCAUUCCAUUUGGAAUUUUGCUUGUGUAUCCCAUCAGUUAAAUAUGUUUUUUAAGCAUUUAUCAGCACAAGUGUGUAGAGUGAGCAGUUGUGUCACGUUCUGACCUUUGUUUUGUCUUCAUUUAGUAUGGUCAGGGCGUGAGUUGGGGUGGGUAGUCUAUGUUUGUGUUUCUAUGUUUUUUAUAUUUCUGUGUUUGGCCUGAUAUGCUUCUCAAAUCAGAGGAGGCUGUUUAUUGUUGUCCCUGAUUGAGAACCAUAUUUAGGUCGCCUGGGUUUCACUGUUGGUUUGUGGGUGUUUGUUUCCGUGUUUGUCAUGAUGGUGUCAUCAUCCAGAGAAAGGGAGAAUGUCCUCAGCCAGCUCUAUGCACUCUUAGAGCCAAUAUGCCAAGACAUGUUUUGCUGCAAUUAAGUUUCAGGAAGUUCAACUGCAUCCACCUCUUGAUUGCAUCUAGACAGUCUGCCAGUUAUUUGUUACAGUCCCUAUUUGUCCUUGUAUAUAUUUGUGUCAGCAGAAAAAUUACAGUUCAGUCCAAAUCUAUGGAUAAGUAUACCAUCUGGGAGCAAGUACAGUUGUCACGACUUCUGCCGAAGUUGUUGCCUCUCCUUGUUCGGGCGGUGCUCGGCGUUCGACGUCACCGGUCUUCUAGCCAUCAUUGAUCCAUUUUUCAUUUUCCAUUGGUUUUGUCUUGUCUUCACACACACCUGUUUUCAAUCCCAUUCAUUACCUGUUGUGUAUUUAACCCUCUGUUUCCCCUCAUGUCUUUGUCAGAGAUUGUUUAUUGUCAGUGUAGUGUUUAUUUGUAUAGGUGCGCGACAGGUCUUCGUACUCAUAUUUGUUUAUAUUCAUUUUUCUAUUUAGUGUUAUGGAGCAUGUUACUUGGACAUUUUUUGAAAGACUCCAUUUUACACUCCGUUUGACUCUCCUGCGCCUGACUUCCCUGCCACCUAUACACAUAUCUCUGACAACAGUGCAUUCAGAAAGUAUUCAGAUCCAUCGACUUUUUACUCAUUUUGUUAUGUUACAGCCUUAUUCUAACAUUGAUUAAAUAUUUUUUUUACCUCACCAAUCUAAACACAAUACCCCACAAUGACAAAGUGAAAACAGCCCCUCAGCACUGGAAAGCUCUAGCUUAGGGGUCACCAACCGGCUGAUCUGUAUGGACUGGUGUAGCAUUUCUAGUUGAUCACCAAACAUUUCUAUAAAAAGAACAACGAUAAAGCGUUCCUUUUUUUGUAUUCGUUUCGUGCUGGUAGGUGGUAGGUGCACUUGAUUCAGCAGCCCUAGCAUCUGGAAGGCAAAGUGUUCCCAUUCUGAACCAUUUCAUGGUUCUGAACUCCACAUCCCCAGCGGGCCCAGAGACCUUAUCAAUUGCACCUAUACACUCUUAUAAAAAAGGGAUCUAGAAGGGUUCUUCGGCUCUCCCCAUAGGAUAAACCUUUUUGGUUCCAAAUAGGACCCUUUUUGGUUCCAGGUAGAAUCCUUUUAGGUUACAGACAGAACCCUUUUUUGGUUACAGGUAUAACCCUCUGUGGAAAGGGUUCUACAUGGAACCAAAAAGGUUUCUUCAAAGGGUUCUCCUAUGACUGUUUUUAAUUGUUUAAUGUUGAAUAGGCUUACAUUUUAGACGUACUGUUUUUUUUUUUUUAAGUCUGAUUGUUGAUCUCGGCCUGUAUGUUGAUCUCGGCCUGUAUGUUGAUCUCGGCCUGUAUGUUGAUCUCGGCCUGUAUGUUGCUCUCGGCCUGUAUGUUGAUCUCGGCCUGUAUGUUGAUCUCGGCCUGUAUGUUGAUCUCGGCCUGUAUGUUGAUCUCGGCCUGUAUGUUGCUCUCGGCCUGUAUGUUGAUCUCGGCCUGUAUUUUGACUCAAAGUGAUCUUGCUCUAGCGGUACAUGUCAAGGAGGCAGCUUCAAUUACCUCAUUCAAAAAAUAACUAAUGUUUGAUUGCUUAAAGUCUACCUUUUUCAUUAGUAGGUCAUUUUUUUUAAUGCAUUGUGAUCUUUGUUUCUACUUUUUGAUGUAUUGAUGCUGUUUUUAGUUGUUUAUUUCCCCCUACAUUAUGUUAAUUGAGCUUGGGAAAUGCACUCUACAAAUGAAAUGUUGUUAUUGUUAUCAGUAUAAUAACCCGGGUUUAAUAAUGGUGUAGUUGCUUUUAAAGACUGUGCCCUUUAGCUGGGCACUAUGCUCCGAAGUGGUCAAUACAAUAGUUGAAUUAAAAACAAAUGAUUUAGUGCAACUUGUUUCUAACCAGCAACAUGUAUCACUUCUGAACUUCUACAUGCUCUCUGAGAAGAAUAGCUGACUCAACUUGUCUAAUGGUUUAAAUCAGCUCCUUCUUGGCUAUUAAGAAAUGUUGUUAUACCUGCUUGGCAAAGAGAGCAUGUUUGUUUGUUUAGGGCGUGGAAGUUUUAGUUUGAACGGCUUGUAUUACCCAACCUAUUCACAGAGACAGUGCAGGGAAAGAAUAUCAUUGUUGUAAUAUGAAAUUUCACAUUCAACAAAACCUGAGAUGACAUAGUCUCGGAUAUCCUAAACCAUGGAGCAUCUUAAGCUAUUGCCUGGCUACCCUUCUACAUCACUCUGGCCAACUGAUGUUUCUUCUCCUCUAUGAAUCUGGAUUUGCCUCCCUCCUCAAUGAUUUCUAGAACCCAAACACAUUCUGACUGUUCUGAUUCAUCCCAGAUACCGAUGGGUCUGCAUGAUGACGAUAUCAACUUUGAUACUCUGAUUGGUUGGAUUUGUUAGAAAACCAAUCGCUGAUGAGUUUUUGUACAAUGCCGCUCAUUUUGAAGUCACAGAAACGAUUUUUGAUAUAAGAGUUUCAGACUGAAUGUAGAAUGUAUGUAGCAAUCGACAGAGCAGCAGAAAUACAUUCAGGGGCAAUCGUCAGGCAACGUAAGCUAGGUAACGGCAGAAGGUCUGGGGAGAAUGUCGGCUUCUCUCUGACGUUUCGAAAGGGGAAAUGUGUUUAGGGCAAGAUCCUCUUCAGAUAGACAAGUCUUUUAUCUAUUUUGGGAAGUCAGGGUUUAAAAUACAGGCAGGAAUUCUGCCCAUGUUUAGAAGCAGAUCGUGAUGUUACACGUGACGUGCUUCCCAUUUCCAACUCAUCCUUUCUGUCCCAUGUGACCCUGGAACAUCUACACACGUGUUAAAACUGGAUUAUUGGUACGUUACCAGAAGCAACCAGUCUGUCUAGUGAGAGAUGACAGUCUCAAGCCCAAGCCAAAGUCGUCCUGUAUGUGACAAUCGGUUUUGGUGUUGAUCAUUAAAUCAUUCUGCAUCUUCAUUAUGAUUUGUAUGCAUAAUUGAUAUCUAUUUCUGAACGUUAUAAUGGAACCAUUGUUAAGACAUGGAACUUCUUUCAUGUCAUGUGUUUCAUAAUAAAUUGUGUAAUAUAUGUUGGAGCAAACCCUUCAAAUAUAAGGAGAAAUAUAUCAUAUGCUUAGCUUCUACAAUAUUUGAACUAUAAAUGAAUAAUAUGUUAUCAUAAAAACUAA
Long non-coding RNA from Oncorhynchus nerka (sockeye salmon), 4978 nucleotides. RefSeq lists it as uncharacterized. NCBI's taxonomy places the organism in Eukaryota, Metazoa, Chordata, Actinopteri, Salmoniformes, Salmonidae. The record is from RefSeq and is a predicted model, not a curated record. The transcript has 2 exons.